Molecule: ribosomal RNA, 396 nt
Filed under: Triticum aestivum (bread wheat)
Lineage: Eukaryota; Viridiplantae; Streptophyta; Magnoliopsida; Poales; Poaceae
Description: partial small subunit ribosomal RNA
Source: RNAcentral
AUGAAUGAAAUGUUGGUUCUAAACAAAGAGGCACAUGAUUGGCUAGAGGAGUUAGACCCUCCAACAUGGGUUAGGGCAUUUCAAAAUGAAUUUCCUAAGUGUAAUGUCUUGUUGAACAAUAACUGUGAGGUGUUCAACAAGUACAUAUUGGAUGCAAGAGAAAUGCCCAUAAUCAGCAUGUGCCAAAGGAUUAAAGGACAAUUGAUGGGAAGAAAUCAUAGCAAGCUACAAGAGGCCUUGAAGUGGCCUGGUACUAUAUGUCCCAAAAUAAGGAAGAAAUUGGACAAAAAUGUGGAAUUUGCUAGAACUUGCUAUGCUUCACCAGCUGGAUUGGGAAUCUUUAAUGUGAACGAUAGAGGUGUAGACUACGGGGUUGAUUACCAGUUGAGGAAGUGA